GGUCUCGCAGUGUAGCGGUUAACACGCCUGCCUGUCACGCAGGAGAUCGCGGGUUCGAUUCCCGUCGAGACCGCCA
This 76-nucleotide transfer RNA is filed under the name Staphylococcus aureus. RNAcentral describes it as "tRNA-Asp". It matches the Rfam family "tRNA". Rfam says of the family: Transfer RNA (tRNA) molecules are approximately 80 nucleotides in length. Lineage: Bacteria; Bacillati; Bacillota; Bacilli; Caryophanales; Staphylococcaceae. The record is from RNAcentral.